This 4939-nucleotide long non-coding RNA is filed under the name Homo sapiens (human). RNAcentral's name for it is "HSALNT0356133". Lineage: Eukaryota; Metazoa; Chordata; Mammalia; Primates; Hominidae. The record is from RNAcentral.
GGAAAUUUAUAUACUCCAGUUUUAGGGAGUAAGGGAAGAGGUAAAGGCCUUGUCCUGCAAUCAAUGUGGUUGUUUUAGCUCAAAACAAUCUAUAUGCCUGUUAAAGCAAACUAAAUAUGGCCGGAGAAGGACUCCAUACUUCUAUAUUUGAGUCCUCAUGGAUGAACUGCAACCUAGCUUAACAGUCAGAAAAAAUGGAAAACCUAGCUUAAUAGUAUGCACCUGUAACAAUGGCUGAGUGUUGGCCAAUCCUAGUGGCCAUGCUUCAACCACUCAUAGACUGCUGAAUGUUCAAACUGUGUUCAAAUAAGGCAAACGCCGAGCUAUAACCAAUCUCACUGUUUCUGUACCUCGCUUCUGAUUCCUGUACAUCGCUUUACUUCUUUUGUCUAUAAAUUUGUUUUGACCAUGAGGCACCCCUGGAGUCUCUGUGAAUCUGCUGUGAUUCUGGGGGCUGCCCAAUUCGCGAAUCAUUCAUUCCUCAAUUGAACUCCUUUAAAUUUAAUUCUGCUGAGGUUUUUCUUUUAUCAUGUCAAUGAGGCCUAAUUUCCCAUGGCAUUUCUGGUGCCCUUCUCCCUCUGCAUAAGGUGCAAUGUGGAGUGCACAAGGCUGAUUUAAUUCCUUCUUUCUUGAGUGCUAUCUCUGCCAAUGCAUUAUGUGCUUCUUAUAUGUAUAUCACAGAGUGAGGGGUUACUUAUCAGUCUCUGCAGCGAUGCACCGAAAAAGACCCAUCUCAUAGAAAAAUGGAAGUUAAAUAAGAGAGAGAAAUAAUUCUUUGAUACCCCCCUACAACUUGUCUAAAAUGAACACCUCCCUUUUCAUACAUGGGCUAAAUGCAAAUGCCUUAGGAGGGGUUACACACUGAUUUACAUUCACCCUAAAACAUAAAUGAUGUUUCAGAUUUUAGUUUUGAUCAGUGUGUUAGUGCAUUCUCACAUUGCUAUAAAGAAAUACCUGGGACCGGGUAAUUUAUAAAAAAAGGAAUUUAAUUGGCUUACGGUUCUGCAAGCUAUGCUUCCUGUACAGCCUGCACCAGCGCCAGCAUCUACUUGGCUUCUGGGGAGGCCUCAGGAAGCUACAAUCAUGGCAGAAGGCAAAGGGAAGCAGGCACACCACAUGGAGAAAGCACGUGGAAGAGAGAGGGGGAAGGCGCCACACACUUUUAACAACCACAUCUUUCGAGAACUCACUGUCAUGAGAACAGCACCAAGAGGAUGGUGCUAGACCAUUCGUGAGAAAUCUACCCCCAUGAUCCAAUCACCUCCCACCAGGCCCCACCUUCACCACUGGGGAUUACAUUUUGACAUGAGAUUUGGUGGGGGACAACAUCUAAACUCUCUCAAUCAGUGAUUACAAAUGGGAGAAUGAGGUGUUAGGACACUCAAAGAUGAAAAGAAGUAACUUGUUAGAAGUGGCACACUGGCCACUGAGCUCUUACUAUAGGCAGGGAUGGUAUAGGGGUCCUGUAAGAGAAGGUGGGCAAUAAGGGAGAAGAGAAGGGUGCAGGAUUGAGCAGCUGUGGCUCCUAAAUUGUCAUCAUCAUUUUCAUAGCUAUGGUAAUCACCAACCCUGUUGAAUAAAAGCCAUCUUGUCCAAGAGGUAUAUAGUCCAAGCAAUUCAAAGACCCUGAGACAGUCCUGCCAUUGAAACCCAGAUUUUUUUCAGGUGCUCCUGAAAAUACUCAUUGCUCUAGACCUUUGCUGUUUUCAAGUCUUGGGUACAUAGCAAUCCCUGUAUCCCCAGUAGGUAUAGCUGGUUUCUUUAUAUUUUGCCAUUGUAUUCUGUAUUGUGUAGUAUAUAUGACCAGACAUUAGUACUAGAAGAAAGAAGCUUUGGAGAUGUUGAACGCUUCCCUUUACAGUUGAAAAAGGUCAAGCUGGGGGAUUAAGUGAUUUGUUUCAAAUACCCCAACCAGUUAAUGGCCGUGGAAGGAUGAGAAUUAUUGCCUGUCUUACUAACACCUCCUUCUAAGGAAAACUGGCUUAUCUGCAGGUAGCUAUCUUGGGAAACUCGUGACCCCAAUUCCCUGUGACAGUCCAUUGAACCAGCAUGGUCAUCUGACCCAUGUACAGUCGAUCUUUUGAUUUGUUCACAACCUUUGACACAUGACCUUGGCCAAUCAGAUUUCCCCCCUUAGAAAUGUGAACCAAGAAACGGAAGCUGAAAUUGCUAAUGUCGUAAUAUGGAGGGCAUUUGCAUGGCUAUGGUGAAGCAUGCAGUUGAGACUGGGAGGGAGCCUGAACUGUAAAGGAGAGAGUAAAGGGAACAGGGCACAUUCGGCAAGCAAAAGUCCUAGAAGGAGCAACCACAUGGCCCAUGUGAGAGAGGAAUUAGCCUGGGUUUCUGUCAGAGGCGUUCGAACCAGAGCGACUUCAUCUUGAGUGAGAGCUAGGAAAAUGGGGCUGAGACUUGCUGGGUUGCGCUCCCAGAAAGUUAGGUAUUCCUGGCCUCUAGAUGUUUAUGGUUAAGGGAACAGAUGGAUAACAUUUACUAAACAGACCUAGGCUUAGGAGUGUUCUUGUAUCCUGAUAUCUUGAGAACAGAAGCAUUCCUAAUUUUGCCUUAAAGAAAAUAAUAGCGAUUCUUGCAAAAUACAAUAAUUAAGAAAAUUAAUGCUUUAUCACAAAUCCUUGCAGCAGAACACAUCUCCCUGUAAUCUAUUUUUUAUCCUAUAUAUAAACAAAUGUUGUACCUAGGGUGAACACAUUCUUCCUCUUGCUUUCAGGAAUACCGUACUCUGCCUGUGGACGAGCUAUUCUUUCACCACUUUACUUUCUUGAUAAACUUGCUUUCACUUUACAGGCUCGUCCUGAAUUCUUUCUUGUGCGAGAUCAAGAAUCCUCUCUUGGGGUCUGGAUCAGGACCCUUUUUCCUGUAACACUUCCAUGGUUCCUGGGGUAGCUCUGGUUCCAGCUCCAGUUCCAGCAAAAGCCCAUUUGCACCCAGCCACCCCGCUUCUUAAAUGAAAGAUAAUUUUGGCAUCUAUUUCUUGAUACCAGCAGAUGCCGAUUGGGACAUGACAGAGCCAGGACUAGCUGCUAGGUUUCCUGGCUCCCAGCUUAUGUUUUUUUCCACUAUACUUUACUAUGUCCUGCAUGCCUCCUAGAGUUUUUUAACCUGUUGACGGCCAGGAAUAGUUUAUUUAACUUGGUAUGCCUUUAACUACCUGGACUUUACUCCAUAAAAAUUGAUUGACUUGAAUUUAAUUAUCGGUAAUUCCAAAAUUAUGAGUGGUGUCCUUUCUGAAUUUAUUUUUCUAGAAUAUAAGCUUUUUUCCUUGCUAAAAGUACCAACACUUUACAAUAUUUUCAGGUGAACAAUUUAUGCUCUAGAAGAAAUUGUUGUCUGUAGGGCAGGUGCCCCUGGCCAAAAGAAGAGCACUCUUUUCUGGCUGUGCUCAGCCAUCCUGGGCUGUGAAUGAUGGGAAAGUUGCUCUGUUCUGAAUCGCAAAUUCACGGCUUUCCUUGAUGCAGUUCUCAACUCACAGGCUUCUUCAUCUUGCAAAUUAACUACAACUAUCCACCUGUGAGAGUUUCAGGGAAAGUUCAUGAAAGUUGUGAUGCUUACAAUUUUAUAAAUCAGCAAAUCAUUUUCCUGAAAGAGACUUCUUCAGGAGAUAGAUUCUCUUGUUAUUGUACUGUCUCAGUUAUCUAUUGCUGUAAAAUAAAUCGUCCCAAAGCUUAGUGGCUUAAAAACAACUCUUUAUUACCUAACACAAGUCUAUAGCUGGCUGUGUUUAGCUGGUAUAUUCUUCUGCUCCACGUGGGCUCACCUGCACUGGAACAUCCAGGAAGGCUGACUCACAUGGCUGCACAGUAGCUGUCAGCCAAGAACCUCACCGUUGUGUCAAAUGUCUUAGUUCUCAUCCACAGUGCAUCUCUGGGGGCUUCUCACAGUGUAUUCACUGGGUCCCUCCAGGGAGUGUUCUAAGAGACAGAAGCCUCAGAUCUCUUAAAGCCCAACCGUGUGGGUGACACAGCAUCAAUGGCUGCCAUAGUCUACUGAUCAAAAGUAGUCACAGGCCAACCCAGAUUUAAGGGGAUGGGAGACAGACCCUAUCUCUGAGUGGAAGAAGUGGUAACACUGCAUGGCCGUUUUUAACCAGCCACAGUUCUUGAUGACAAUUUCCUAAUGGAAAAGAUCUUUCUUCUACAGGACUCUAGAAUAGCGUUUCUCAGGUGUUAAUGUGCAAAGAAUCAUCCCGUGAUCCUGUUAAAAUGUAGGUUCUGAUUCAGUAGGUCUGGGGUGAGGCUUGAGAACCUGCGUUUCUAACAAGCUCCCAGGGAUGCAGCAGGCACCUGCAGAGCUGUUAAAACAGAUUCCUCCCACUCCUUUCCUCUGCUCUAGAAAAAUCCUCCAAAUCCUGAAAACAUCUGGAGAGAAGCAGAAGGAGAUGGUAGAAGCUGAGGCCCCACAGUGGAGCAACUUUGAUUUCCAUUGAUUUUACGAAGACACUACCACAAAGAAAUGGCAAAAUCAAUGUUGGCCAUUUAUGCAGAUAAAAUAUAACUGUCAGGUGGAAAAUAAAACCUAGGCAAACACUAAGUGUAUCCCCUGAACCAUCUUAAAUGUGGUUUGUGUACUCAUGUGGUUGAGUCCUCAUGGAUGAACUGCAACCUAGCUUAACAGUCAGAAAAGAUGGAAAACAGUCAGAAAAAAAUGGAAAAAGUGUACACCUGACAUUGGCAAACUUUUAACAGUGAGCCUUAUGGUCUUCACCAAUUUCAGGUGCUCCAUUCCCCAACCCUACCCCACUUCUUCAAGUCAGUUCAGUAAAUAGUUACUGAUCCCUUAUUCAGCAGAAAGCACUGUAUCGGAUACUGUAGGUGCAGAGAGAAGACAGCCCAGCAUUCUUUCCCUACAGAACAUUAUACUUUGGUAGGGAGACAAGUGACAUACAUAAGCCUCCAUCAGUUCAUUAAGUGUUUAUUAUUGCAAC